RNAcentral lists this ribosomal RNA (438 nucleotides) under uncultured prokaryote. RNAcentral's name for it is "bacterial SSU rRNA". It matches the Rfam family "Bacterial small subunit ribosomal RNA", at positions 355 to 786 of the family's 1533-position model. The record is from RNAcentral.
UGGGGAAUAUUGGACAAUUGGCGAAAGCCUGAUGCAGCAACGCCGUGUGAGCGACGAAGGUCUUCGGAUCGUAAAGCUCUGUUGUUGGGGACGAAGGGCGAAGGGUUAAUAGCCCCUAGCCUGACGGUACCCUUCGAGGAAGCCCCGGCUAACUACGUGCCAGCAGCCGCGGUAAUACGUAGGGGGCGAGCGUUGUCCGGAAUUAUUGGGCGUAAAGAGCGUGUAGGCGGUCUGGUAAGUCUGCCGUGAAAACUCGGGGCUCAACCCUGAGCGUGCGGUGGAUACUGCCAGGCUAGAGGGUGGUAGAGGCGAGUGGAAUUCCUGGUGUAGCGGUGAAAUGCGCAGAUAUCGGGAGGAACACCAGUAGCGAAGGCGGCUCGCUGGGCCAUUCCUGACGCUGAGACGCGAAAGCAUGGGGAGCGAACAGGAUUAGAUACC